CCACACAUCAGGCUGUUGGGCUCUAAGUGCAACCCAAACUUCAAGCUCUUCCCAGAGCCCAACUCAGGUUCAGGUGCUUCCCGUGGAGUUGCUCAAACAGUGUUUCAAAGUUUGAACCGUGAAUAAACUAGGAAGAAUUCCCCUACGGAAUUCUGCCAGCCAGACAUCACCAGUGCUCUUUCUUGUAAUGCACUUGAAAGCACGUUGCGUCCAGGAUCUGACAGUGGUACCUGAAAACUCAGCACAGGGAAUUCUAUUGCUGGACCAACGCAGUGGGUCAGAAAUGUCCACAGCUGGCCACAGCAUUCCGUGUAGCUGGAAAAUUCAUCAAUGGAAGGUACUGUGGAAAACCAGUUCAGCUCAUUCAGUCAUCAUGAUUCUGGUUGGUUCAGCGUCUCAUAUUUAAGGCAAAACUCUAACACUGUUAUGCUGUGGUCUUCUUUGAGUUCAUCUGUGCAAUUUGAAAUUAUCAAGGGAAUCGUGAGUCUUACAACUAGAGUAGAAGGAUAAAGCUGGGACAGUUUGCACAGAAAGCCCCAUCUCAAUCUAACGCUCCCCAUGCAGGCGAGUGUGAAACAUCGUCUGAGAUGAGCUCUUCUCUGGGCUCAGCCACGCCUUGCAAGAUCCCAAGAGAAUCAAAAGGCUUCAAGUGCGAAUCAAUCGGUAUGAACCUCUGUAUAAAUCCUGCCAACAGGAUGUCAGCAGCUGUCUCUAUCGUCAUACAUUUGGGAGGUGUGGCCACCAGGAUCUGACAGUAGUUCCCGAGGAGUCGGCACCGUCUAUCCUGGCCCCAUGCAGUGGGUCAGAAAAUCCCACAACCGGCCACACAGCUGAGGUCCUCCCAGAACACCAUCCAUUGAAGGUCCUGUGGGAAGUCAGUGAAGUUCAUUCAAUCAUCAUGAUUCUAGUGGGUUCAGUGCCCCGUAUUGAAGUCAGAACUCUAACACCGUUAUGCUUUAGUCUUCUUUCAGUUCAUCUGCGCGCAUUUAAAUGGAAGUCAUUGCUAUUCCUACAACUAGAGAAGUGACGAUGUAUUUACAGUGUAAAGGUAGGUACCCUUUAACGAGAAAGCAACAUCUCAAUCUAAUGCUUACAGCAGAUAAACCUCUUCCUGAAACAAUGUUGCCGUCCCUGACAAAAUUAGUCACUGUGUAGAACACUUUGAAAUUAACAUAAAACUGGAAGAGACAGUACAGAAAGCUCUCAGACCCUUUGUCCACACUUCUUUUCUGAACCCCUUUUUUCAGCGGUGUGGUUCACAUGUAACAGCAAUUACACCAGUAUUGCUACAUUCCUACCAACUGACGUCAGGAGCCUGCUUUGAGGCUCAGCGUGUUGUACCCUCUUUGGGUUGUGACAAACUCCGAAUGCCUCUCACCCCCCAGACGAAGGAGCUGGACGUCCCAACCUCUCCCUGUGCUUCCCCUGCCAAUCCCCUUACCCGUCUCCGGAUGCCCUGGCAACAACGGUCCUGUUCACUGUCUCUAGAGUUUCCUUUUCCAGAACUGUCUAUGCCUGGAAUCAUAGAGCAGGCAGCUUUUUUAGAGGGUCUUAUCCCACUCAGCGAUAUUUAUUCACGGCCAGCGUCUGACUUUGAGGUCACCCCGUGGCGGCUACCCUCUCUUCCCAGCCUUUCUUGGCAAGGCCUCAUGUUGGCUUCAGUGGGAACUUCUUUUCAUCUGCCCAGGCCCUUCUAACACCCACCAGUGUCAGCAAGACCAGGACCAGGGACAGCAGCAGCCUCCUGCCUUGGGGUCCUGGGACUGCACCCCCUCCCCAGUGAAAUUUCCCAGGAAUCUGUAGCCACCUCCCAGCCAGUUCUGAUAGGUAUCUGAAAAAGGAGGAUGCUCCAUGGAAAGAGUCAUGGAAACUUCACUCCAACCUUCUGUACUAGAGUGUCAUGAUUCACUGGAGAGAAUGUUCCCAAGAAUGUGGAAAGCCUGACUCCCUUCACCGCCUCUGCCAGCCACGGCUUCUGCGUGGUGGGCACGAUGUGCUCUGUAAAAUGAGAAAACGGGCUUCUUCAGGGACUGAGCAUCAGGCAAGCACGUGGCCCUCUUCCUAGGAGGAAGACACGAUAGGUCGUGCAUUGCAAGGCUGGAAAAGAUUUAUUCAGUGUCAUGACCAAAAGAAACUUCACCCAAUUCCCCGCCUAACCUCGUGGGUGAUACAGGUUUCUGCUGUCGUUCGAGGUCCUUUGGAAGAAAACAGGAUUCUUGCUUAAGAAAAUGUAGAUGAGAAAUGAGGCAUAUGACGGGUUGCGGAACAUGUGGAUUAUAAACACCACGUGAAAUGCUUUCGAUUUCAUAGAAUUCCGUGACCCUGCAAUUGAGCUCUUCAUAUUGUUUUUCCACAAAACAAAAAGAUGAGACUCACCAUUAGAAAAGAGUCACUUUUUCUCCAGAAACUGGCUUCUCAUAAGAAGAUUGCCCUGGACGUUUCUCACUCUCUAGAACACAGCGGCCCAGUGGUGCUUGAGAGAAAACCCAGGGUGAGGAAUUCAAUGCUAAAAGGAGCGACUACAAGACCAAGGGCUGAGGAACCCAGAGGCGGCCGCUCAGUGGACUCACGGGAGAAGGCAGGGCUGGGGCCCCAGGCUGGACCUUGAGAGGGAGAAGAUAUAGAGGGGGAGAAGGAAGUCCCAAGAGCACCCGGGCGCGGAGAGAACGAGGAUGGGGGAGGAUGGCUUCCAGGGUUUUAAUGUCAGGAGGCUCAUUACGUCAUAAUCCCCAGAGUCCAGUAAUUUUCGUGCUCCUUCUGAGUGGGAAAGAGCAGGGCGGACUGUCCUGGCUGCAGUGAGCCCCGCAUGGACACCUCUGCCUUUUCUCAAGAGAGGGGGGUCCUUCCUGAUGAAUCUCUGGGACAGGAGCUGGGGACUGGGGUCUUCAUCAGGUUGUGACAACGCAGACCUUUCCCAUCCUGGAAGCUGGCCACAGACAGAGCAGGAAUCCCAUUUCCGAUAUUCUGAGCCAGACUGGCGGGGGACAUAGUUCAGCAGGGAUAGACUCAAGCCCUCAGAAAUCACACACGAAUGAUUGCAUCAGAGCAUCCAACAACUCUGCAAGGAAACACGCAGGAAGGGAGUCACGUCUUCCUCAUCUGUGUAUCUCUAGAGCUGCACCAUCCAGCAUGGGAGUCCCGGCCUGGCGGUGCUGUGUAUAACCAGUUCAUUCGUGAGAGCAGUUCAUCCAAAUAGAAUGAGACAUUCUACUCCCCAGUCACACUGGCCACAUUUCCCGUGCCCCACAGACUUGGUGCCACCUGCCACCACAUUCAGGAGAGAGCAAGAUAAUUUGCAUCCACACAACACACCGUUGGGACUCUGCUCGGAGCAUGGCACUGGGUCUGUGCAUUGAACUCAUCUAACUACGAAACCCGUGCAUCAGAGCUGGAAUUUCAGAGACUCCAUGGUCAACAGAAGACAUGACGCAAGCAGUGAAGAAGGUGACACUCUGGGUUUGGAACAACCCAAGGGGGGACCCGAUAGAAGAGGGUGCCUGCAGCAGUCGGGGUCGGCCUGCGGCUUCAGAGACUAAGCAAGUGGGACAUGAAAUCAGAAAGAGAAAGGAGGUGUGUGUGGAAGGCGGCUUUGUCCUUGUCUCUCCUGACCCAGCAGGGAGAGGUUGGAUCCUCUGGUCUUUGAGUGUGCAGUGUCUGUGAUCAUUUUUUCCCUCUGCGGUAUUUAAAACAAUCUUUCCCAGCAAACCACUUCUUCCCUGCCUUUGCCUCAGCCAAUCUUCAAAGCCUUUGGUGAUGUGUGCAGCACCUCUUGGGAAAUGUACACAGCAGAUUUUGUCCCAGGUUUUGGGCAGCGACCAGCAGGGGAUGCAAACCGGGUGCCCAACUCUCUCGCAGGCACCACGGGAUCCGGGAACCAAACCUCCUCUAGCCAGUGCAGGCGGGGUGAGAAGCCGGCCCUCCCCCUCCUUGCUUUCAGGACCCUGGCCACUGCUUCCUGGUCUGCCUCACUGUCUCUUCCUGGUGGAAAGGCUGUUUGUUCCCUGGGCUGGACGAGGUAAGGAAUCCUCCCCUGGGAUCACCGCAAAUGUCCUGCAUCCUGGAGACGCAACAGGAAACACAGCCCUCAGCACGUUUCAGUCCCCAGGUGUCACCCAAAUGCCACAUCCUGGGAUGAGGAACAAAAGCUGAAUUUACUUUGAUUUGAGAGGCCCCAGUCCAGCUGCCCCUGGAGACCUUCCCCAUUUGAGAGGAUGUGUGAAGGGAGCUGGGCUUCCUGCCCAUGCUGAGUAUCACAGUCUCAGUGACUUCAUCCCUGGAAUCCUCCAGGCCCGGGACAGAGUCCCUGGCAGCAGGGAAAGGGCUCUCUGCACUCUCACGCCCACUGCCCUGACCAGACAGCACUGCCCUGCUGUCCACACUCCAGCCUCUUCUCUGUCUUCUGCCCUGCCGGGCACCAGGUUCCCACCCCGUUCUCCCACCCGCAGCGUGGUGCAAACCCAGACCCGUCCCCUCUCUGUAUGUAGCCAGAUCCUGCCUGUUAUCGAGUCCCUGGCUGCCUCACUUGCAGACUAAGGUUAUUUCCACAAGUUACAUGACCUCAAACUCAUGUUUAUCCUCUUAUGGGCUCUGGAACUGCCAUGAAGAUCCAAUGUCUCUGAAGGCCCCCAAAGUUAUACCAAAAGCAGAAACCUCACUUGGCAUAGUGAGUCUGAUGUAAUCCUCUCCCAUAGGACCCAACAUAACUGCAGGAUGGCGGGAAGGGAGCCCUGCCUGGGCUGCUCAGUUCGGUCAACUGAUCAAUUAAUUGGAGGUGGUGGCAGUAUGCCCACGGUGACUGCAUCAGGGGUUGGAGGACGAUAGGAAUGGUGGAAGGUGAGGAGGGGACAGGAAAUGGGUGUUAUCAUGGAGAAUGAAACAGGCCCUAAAGUGGGGAGGGCAGAGGGAAGUCCAUGUGAUGCACAGAAAGUUACGCAGACGGUGGCCAACUCUCAGAGACACAGAGAUGGCCCAGGCGACCCUUCCUGGUCACAGUUAUGGAAUGUGGUGACUGGAAAAGUGUUGGAGAUGGGGACCAAGAGGCUCCUGGGGCUGGGCUCCAUCAUCCCAGGAGUAACAGGAACCUGGUUCCCACCUGCACUCUAACUUCCUCCUUUCUUUCCCAAGGCCACCCUGUUGCGCUUCCUGCCGGAGGACAUGCAGCCGGGAAUGUGGCAAAUUGCAAGGAAUCUGAGAGUGGAGGCAGCGGCAUGCCUGUCAUUCAGUUCCUGUCUCAUCUUCCUUUCACCCUCCCUUUCCUUUCCAUCCCCCUUUUCUUUGUCAGGAGCUUCUCUUUGGAGCCCCGUGCCAUUCCCUCUUGCGUCUUUUAGGACCGUCCUCCUGAAGGACCUGGUCCCACCCAGGCAGCUGAGGUCCUGGGUCUGCACUGUGGAUGAAGCCCCAGCCCUCCUUUCACUGCCUUGGCCCUGUCCUGGGUGCUGACCCCAGGCUGCAGCACUGACUCCUGCUGAGCAGCCCCAAGGGCUCCAGGCAGGGAGCUGGGCUGGGGGAGGAAGGAAAGUCUGGGUCUGUCCUGGACACCCCCUCACAGGGCGUUUUCUGCCCUGGGGGCUCUGGACAUGCGCAGUUCUUCUCUUCCAGAAGUCAGGACAGUGUUCCAUUCUCCCUGCAGGAGAGGACACAGAGGACACAAAGGUGGAAGAAAAGAGAGGGAGUGAGCGUGGAGGGGCCGCACGAAGAGGGGCCGGCAGGACGUGCACACGGCCCAAUGCUCCUCGCACUUUCUUACUGCCCUGACCACUAAAUCAGUGCAGUCCAUCCCAGAAAACACUGGAGCAGCUUCUCUUAAGGGGAACUCAACAGCCGCAGAGGAGAGAAUCCUUUUCAACAAUCCACACACCAGAUUCCCAAAGGCUACCCAGUUGAACGUCUACAUUAAUUCGCUUCCGCAAGACAUUUAGGGAGACAGACUCAUAGGACAGAGCCUCACAAGGAAUUCGCUUCCCUGUAACUGACAAACGCUAAAGAGCAGUGAAGGUGAGUUAACCGUGGACGAGGCCUGUGGACAGGCAGCACCCACAGCAGAGAGCAGCAACCAGGCCUCAGUGCCCUGUGGACCUGAGCCGGGGGUCGUCAGGCCAUGUCACCUUCCAGGGCCCGAGGGGCUUCUUUCUGGGUCCUGCUCACCCAGACCAGCGAGCCCUCCUCCUCUCUCCCUGUGCCUUCCAGUGACCCUGCGCCCGGGUCUGUGUGGCAGAUCCUGUCCCCACACCCAGGCAGGCCCUGAUGUGCAGACCCCCCCAUGCCCAGAGAAGACCUGCAGCACGACAGGUUUCAGGGAGACGGAGACAGACAGGAGGCUUCCUCGCCUCAUUUAGCGGCGGUUAAUUUUUCAAUAUCACAGAUAUGGGAUUGUGUUUAGAAGUUUUUUUUUUAACUGUUUAUUUUUAAUGCAAGU
This is a non-coding RNA of Callithrix jacchus (white-tufted-ear marmoset), 6415 nucleotides long. The record is from RefSeq and is a predicted model, not a curated record. Lineage: Eukaryota; Metazoa; Chordata; Mammalia; Primates; Cebidae.